CCAAUGUCAACACCCAGGAAGGUCAGUCUCCCUGUGUCUUGUCCUGGUGUGUAGGGGAGCACGGGGCUUUGCCUCAUGAUGUACAGUCUCCCUCCAUGAUGUUGAAGAAAAAGCCAGGCCUUGAGUCUGCAGCUGCAUAUUCCUACAGCUUCCCAGAGUCCAUUGGGCUGCGACUGGGAAGACAAAUCAUGCAGGAAACAUUU
Ochotona curzoniae (black-lipped pika) is the source of this 203-nucleotide small nucleolar RNA. RefSeq annotates it as small nucleolar RNA SNORA73 family. Lineage: Eukaryota; Metazoa; Chordata; Mammalia; Lagomorpha; Ochotonidae. The transcript has a single exon. The record is from RefSeq and is a predicted model, not a curated record.